GAUGAACGCUGGCGGCGUGCCUAAUACAUGCAAGUCGAGCGAACAGACGAGGAGCUUGCUCCUCCGACGUUAGCGGCGGACGGGUGAGUAACACGUGGAUAACCUACCUAUAAGACUGGGAUAACUUCGGGAAACCGGAGCUAAUACCGGAUAAUAUAUUGAACCGCAUGGUUCAAUAGUGAAAGACGGUUUUGCUGUCACUUAUAGAUGGAUCCGCGCCGCAUUAGCUAGUUGGUAAGGUAACGGCUUACCAAGGCAACGAUGCGUAGCCGACCUGAGAGGGUGAUCGGCCACACUGGAACUGAGACACGGUCCAGACUCCUACGGGAGGCAGCAGUAGGGAAUCUUCCGCAAUGGGCGAAAGCCUGACGGAGCAACGCCGCGUGAGUGAUGAAGGUCUUCGGAUCGUAAAACUCUGUUAUUAGGGAAGAACAAAUGUGUAAGUAACUAUGCACGUCUUGACGGUGCCUAAUCAGAAAGCCACGGCUAACUACGUG
RNAcentral lists this ribosomal RNA (497 nucleotides) under uncultured bacterium. Its description in RNAcentral is "partial 16S ribosomal RNA". It matches the Rfam family "Bacterial small subunit ribosomal RNA", at positions 28 to 507 of the family's 1533-position model. The record is from RNAcentral.